Molecule: non-coding RNA, 116 nt
Organism: Cephalotus follicularis
Lineage: Eukaryota; Viridiplantae; Streptophyta; Magnoliopsida; Oxalidales; Cephalotaceae
Source: Rfam
GGGUAUGAUCAUACCAGCACUAAUGAACAGGAUCCCAUCAGAACUUCGAAGUAAGCACGCUUGGGCGAGAAUAGUACAAAUAUGGGCUUGUCACCUGACUUUCAUGGACACAGGCU